RNAcentral lists this ribosomal RNA (515 nucleotides) under uncultured bacterium. Its description in RNAcentral is "bacterial SSU rRNA". It matches the Rfam family "Bacterial small subunit ribosomal RNA", at positions 34 to 518 of the family's 1533-position model. The record is from RNAcentral.
CGCUGGCGGCGUGCCUAAUACAUGCAAGUCGAACGGCUUUUCUAUGGAAGCUUGCUUCCACUGAGAAGAUAGUGGCGAAACGGGUGAGGUAACACGUGGGUAACCUGCCCAUAAGAGGGGGGAUAACAUCCGGAAACGGGUGCUAAUACCGCAUAGUUUUCUUGAUCGCAUGAUUGAGAAAGGAAAGACGGCCUUUGUGCUGUCGCUUAUGGAUGGACCCGCGGCGUAUUAGUUAGUUGGUGAGGUAACGGCUCACCAAGACGAUGAUACGUAGCCGACCUGAGAGGGUGAUCGGCCACAUUGGGACUGAGACACGGCCCAAACUCCUACGGGAGGCAGCAGUAGGGAAUCUUCCGCAAUGGACGAAAGUCUGACGGAGCAACGCCGCGUGAGUGAAGAAAGGGUUUUCGGAUCGUAAAACUCUGUUGUCAGAGAAGAACAAGUUGGAGAGUAACUGCUCCAGCCUUGACGGUAUCUGACCAGAAAGCCACGGCUAACUACGUGCCAGCCGCUGC